Molecule: non-coding RNA, 26 nt
Filed under: Homo sapiens (human)
Lineage: Eukaryota; Metazoa; Chordata; Mammalia; Primates; Hominidae
Source: RNAcentral
AGAACCUCUGGUUGAAGCCUCCACAC